AGUGAACGCUGGCGGUAGGCCUAACACAUGCAAGUCGAACGGCAGCACAGUAAGAGCUUGCUCUUACGGGUGGCGAGUGGCGGACGGGUGAGGAAUACAUCGGAAUCUACUUUUUCGUGGGGGAUAACGUAGGGAAACUUACGCUAAUACCGCAUACGACCUACGGGUGAAAGCAGGGGAUCUUCGCACCUUGCGCGAUUGAAUGAGCCGCUGUCGGAUUAGCUAGUUGGCGGGGUAAAGGCCCACCAAGGCGACGAUCCGUAGCUGGUCUGAGAGGAUGGUCAGCCACACUGGAACUGAGACACGGUCCAGACUACUACGGGAGGCAGCAGUGGGGAAUAUUGGACAAUGGGGGGAAGCCUGAUCCAGCCAUACCGCGUGGGUGAAGAAGGCCUUCGGGUUGUAAAGCCCUUUUGUUGGGAAAGAAAAGCAGCAGGUUAAUACCCCGCUGUUCUGACGGUACCCAAAGAAUAAGCACCGGCUAACUUCGUG
RNAcentral lists this ribosomal RNA (492 nucleotides) under uncultured bacterium. Its description in RNAcentral is "partial 16S ribosomal RNA". It matches the Rfam family "Bacterial small subunit ribosomal RNA", at positions 29 to 507 of the family's 1533-position model. The record is from RNAcentral.